CGCUGAAGGGAGAGCUUGCUCUUCUGGAUGAGUUGCGAACGGGUGAGUAACGCGUAGGUAACCUGCCUGGUAGUGGGGGAUAACUAUUGGAAACGAUAGCUAAUACCGCAUAAUAACAGUUGUUGCAUGACAACUGUUUGAAAGGUGCAAUUGCAUCACUACCAGAUGGACCUGCGUUGUAUUAGCUAGUUGGUGGGGUAACGGCUCACCAAGGCGACGAUACAUAGCCGACCUGAGAGGGUGAUCGGCCACACUGGGACUGAGACACGGCCCAGACUCCUACGGGAGGCAGCAGUAGGGAAUCUUCGGCAAUGGACGAAAGUCUGACCGAGCAACGCCGCGUGAGUGAAGAAGGUUUUCGGAUCGUAAAGCUCUGUUGUAAGAGAAGAACGAGUGUGAGAGUGGAAAGUUCACACUGUGACGGUAUCUUACCAGAAAGGGACGGCUAACUACGUGCCAGCAGCCGCGGUAAUACGUAGGUCCCGAGCGUUGUCCGGAUUUAUUGGGCGUAAAGCGAGCGCAGGCGGUUAGAUAAGUCUGAAGUUAAAGGCUGUGGCUUAACCAUAGUACGCUUUGGAAACUGUUUAACUUGAGUGCAAGAGGGGAGAGUGGAAUUCCAUGUGUAGCGGUGAAAUGCGUAGAUAUAUGGAGGAACACCGGUGGCGAAGGCGGCUCUCUGGCUUGU
This 685-nucleotide ribosomal RNA is filed under the name uncultured Bacilli bacterium. Its description in RNAcentral is "bacterial SSU rRNA". It matches the Rfam family "Bacterial small subunit ribosomal RNA", at positions 65 to 737 of the family's 1533-position model. Lineage: Bacteria; Bacillati; Bacillota; Bacilli. The record is from RNAcentral.